CUGCACAAGUGGUUGCUUCAAAAACGAACACACGCUGUCGACUUUCUUUACUUCCUUCAUCGAUUCUCACGUUGCGUGGGUCCAUCACUACGGGCACCACAAGGUCGCGCGCACUCCAGCGUUGUGUUCGCUCCGCAUUCGCCACGUCGACCUCGCCGAGAGGUUAUCUUUGCCCUUCACGCGUGCUUAUUGUUGCCUCCCUCUUGCGACUCGCCUCUUCGCCCCCAACAGAAAAAAGGGAAGAACUACUGCAGCGUCAUGUACACGGAGAGGGACUCCUACGCACCUACCAAGGUCAUGACGGAAGAAGAGCUGCAGCGCAGCGUAGAUCGUCUCAGCCGUAGUAAUCGGCUCACGGUCGAGCUGAAGCCUCUUGCACCGCGCAGCAUCAUCACCAAGGAGGCUCUCGACAAGCGUAUUCAUCACCUGUACGACGAGUCUCUGGAGCGGCGGCAGCGUGAGCGUGAGGAGGUGGCGCGGCAGAUGGACGCUGCGAUCAAGAAGGACGCCACCAUUACCGUGACCAAGAUUACCCCUCUCCAGGAGGAGGCUCUUGUGCGCCACCUCUACGACGAGACGCUGGCUACCAAAAAGAGAAACUUCGACGAGCUUUACAAGCAAUCGACCUCACACUACGAGCGCAACACUAUAAAACUGACGGCCAAGAAGCAGUUGGCCGCGAUGGACCGGCUCUACCGCGAGGGGAUGGAGCGAGAACGUAAUAAGCACAUUGCUCUGUACGAGAAGUACGUUGUAGCUCGUCAGCCGCCGCCACCGCGGCGCACAGCAGCUGAGCUAGCGGCAUCUGCCGACAAGAUGACGAGGGGGGAGGGUUUGACUUCUUGACACGUGUGUGUGCACCCGCACAGCGCACCGACACAGCGAGCCACUUUUACCACUGGCCCAGCAUGCAUGUUUCAUCUCCAGCUCAUGCUGCUCCCCCCUUCCCCCAAAUCAGCUUCUUCUGACUUAUCAUGCUGCACGGUGCUGCUCGAUUUCUUUGCCUCGGCCUUUGCUGCCUCUUGAUGUUUAUGCAAGUUUUACUUACGCUGACGGCUUUUUUGUGCAAUGUAUUCCAGUGAAGGGCCGACUUGGACAGUGAACACAUACGUCGGCCAAACGGCGCCUUCCUCUUGCGAUCUCCUCUGCUUCCACAGCUCCUCCCCUUCUUUUUCCACAGCCAAUCAGUGCACCUCGGAUGCCGUCUGCACGAUUUUUCCUUCUCGCUCUCUUCAAGGGUUUUCAUGUGUGCUUUCCUUUUUUGUUGUUUUGGCUCGGCUUUGUAUUUUGCCAAGACGGCCAGCGCUGGUGGAAGGCACCGGUCUCGGGCGCAUGUGCUUGGUUGCUUGAUUUGGAUGGGGCUCGCAAUCCUCUUUGCCCAGUUGUUCUGGGCGUUUUUCUUCAUGCGUUCACUAGAAUUCUCAGUUGCGCCUUCCUCCCGUUGUUGUGUGCUAGAAUCAGUUCCACCCAUGCAAAACCUCCCCUUCGCGCCUCCACCAAGUGCGACCGGCAAUGCGGAGGGGCAGGUGAUCCAGCACUCUCGGGCCUAUCGAGCAGAUCCAUUUGUACAGCUCCUUUUGUACUGCCGUGCGUAAUGAGUCUUGAUGUAAGCGACGCGGCCGCACACAACCACCUGAUCGAAUUCACGGGGUAUCUGGGUGCUGCUGUUGACGAAGCCGACUCUCUUCUCUACAGCUUUCCUGUUUUCUCUCUACUCUCGGCUCUCUCACGCUGUUGAAGGAACGG
Molecule: unclassified non-coding RNA, 1746 nt
Filed under: Leishmania donovani
Lineage: Eukaryota; Euglenozoa; Kinetoplastea; Trypanosomatida; Trypanosomatidae
Description: gene:LdHU3.36.7340(CDS-product:hypothetical_prote in_conserved)
Source: RNAcentral